GACGAACGCUGGCGGCGUGCCUAAUACAUGCCAGUCGAACGCUGCAGGCGGAGCUUGCUUCUCUGGAUGAGUUGCGACCGGGUGAGUAACGCUUAGGUAACCUGCCUGGUAGCGGGGGAUAACUAUUGGAAACGUUAGCUAAUACCGCAUAAGAGUAGAUGUUGCAUGAUAUUUGCUUAAAAGGUGCAAUUGCAUCUCUACCAGAUGGAUCUGCGUUGUAUUAGCUAGUUGGUGGGGUAACGGCUCACCAAGCCGACGAUACAUAGCCGACCUGCGAGGGUGAUCAGCCACACUGGGACUGAGACACGGCCCAGACUCCUACGGAAGGCAGCAGGAGGGAAUCUCCGGCGAUGGACGGAAGUCGGACCGAGCAACGCCGCGGGAGAGAAGAAGGGUAUCGGAUCGUAAAGCUCUGUUAUGAGAGAAGGACGGGAGUGAGAGUUGAAAGUUCACACUAUGACGGUAUCUGACCAGAAAGGGACGGCUAACUACGUG
This 495-nucleotide ribosomal RNA is filed under the name uncultured bacterium. Its description in RNAcentral is "partial 16S ribosomal RNA". It matches the Rfam family "Bacterial small subunit ribosomal RNA", at positions 28 to 507 of the family's 1533-position model. The record is from RNAcentral.